RNAcentral lists this ribosomal RNA (363 nucleotides) under Triticum aestivum (bread wheat). RNAcentral's name for it is "partial small subunit ribosomal RNA". The record is from RNAcentral. Lineage: Eukaryota; Viridiplantae; Streptophyta; Magnoliopsida; Poales; Poaceae.
AUGAGAUACCUGGUGUCGGCGUCCGCGGCCGCGCUGGUCCUGGCCGCCGUCCUCGCCGCCGCGCCGCGGCUCGCGGGGGCCAAGGACGAGUGCGGCGCCACCCCGCCGGACCAGGAGGCCCUGAAGCUGGUGCCGUGCGUGGCGGCGGGGAAGGACCCGGACUCCAAGCCUUCGGACCGCUGCUGCGCGGCGGUGAAGGAGAUCGGGGAGAGGAGCCCCGCGUGCCUCUGCGCGGUGCUGCUCUCCAAGAUCGUGCGUCGGGUCGGGGUCAAGCCCGAGGUGGCCAUCACCAUCCCCAAGCGCUGCGACCUGACCGACCGCCCCAUCGGCUACAAGUGCGGCGGUACGUUACGUACUGUUUGA